RNAcentral lists this long non-coding RNA (1094 nucleotides) under Homo sapiens (human). RNAcentral describes it as "HSALNT0381300". Lineage: Eukaryota; Metazoa; Chordata; Mammalia; Primates; Hominidae. The record is from RNAcentral.
GAAAAAAACAAGUAGCAGAUACUCGUUAAUUCGAUUCUUCAAUAAUGUCAGAGAGCACCUAUUUAGUUAGUCACUCUGCAGGCACCAGUGAUUCAACAGCAAUCUACACAAAAGAGUUCCUGCCUUCCCAAAGCUUGUGAUCUAGUGAGAAGCAUAGACAAGUGAACAAUGACAGCACAGAGUGUGGCUCACCACCAGAUUCUCAUCUGAAUCUGACUUGCUUACAUCCCUUCAGCUUCCUUCUUUUGGCUGCAAGCCCUGCAUGGUCUCCUCAUCAUCAACAGGCUCCAGUUCAUGACAGCGAGGUUCUGCCUUCUGGCACUGCUCUCAUCCUGUCUGUCCUUUACUAAUCAGAGAAGGCUUUACUCUUUUUUGAGAUAGGGUCUCAUUCUGUCACCCAGGCUGGUGGAGUAUAGCGGCACAAUCACGGCUCACUGCAGCCUUGACCUUCUGGGCUCAGGUGAUCCUCCCACCUUAGCCUCCCAAGUAGCAGGGACUAUAGGCAUGUAUCACCACACCUAGCUAAUUUUUGUAGAGACGGAGUUUUGCCUUGUUGCCCAGACUGGUCUCAAACUCCUGGGCCCCAAGUGAUCUGCCCACGUCAGCCUCCCAAAGUGCUAGGAUUACCAGUGUGAGCCACCAUGCCCAGCCUUCAUUAUUCCUAAGGAUAAAGAUAUUUUCCCCUUUCCUAAUUUGACUUUUCUGGAGCUGAGUGGUAAGUACUAUGGUUUGAAAGGUAAAAUGGGUUCUUGAUGUCAACAUGAAAUUAUUCACAUACUGUAGCCCUACACCAAAAUGCUUACUUAUUCAUAGGUUACCACCAGAUUCACGUCAAAUAUUCCAAAAUUCAGGUGUUGCCAAUGUGACAGGAUUAAGAGAUGGGGCCUUUAAAGAGGUGAUAAGGCCAUGAGGGCUCCCCUCCCGGGUGAACAGGAUUAGGUGCCGUUUAGGGCUCGACAGGACGAGUCUGUCCUCUUUCGCUUCCACCUUCUACCCUGUGAGGAUGCAGCAAAAAAGCGCACCAGAUGCCGGCACCUAGACGAUGGCCUUCCCAGUCAAGAACUAAGAGAAAAUAAAUUUUUGUUCUUUACAAA